ACAACUUUUAACAACGGAUCUCUUGGCUCUCGCAUCGAUGAAGAACGCAGCGAAAUGCGAUAAGUAAUGUGAAUUGCAGAAUUCAGUGAAUCAUCGAAUCUUUGAACGCACCUUGCGCUCUCUGGUAUUCCGGGGAGCACAUCUGUUCGAGUGU
This 154-nucleotide ribosomal RNA is filed under the name Hydnum crocidens. RNAcentral describes it as "5.8S ribosomal RNA". It matches the Rfam family "5.8S ribosomal RNA". From Rfam's summary of the family: 5.8S ribosomal RNA (5.8S rRNA) is a component of the large subunit of the eukaryotic ribosome. It is transcribed by RNA polymerase I as part of the 45S precursor that also contains 18S and 28S rRNA. Lineage: Eukaryota; Fungi; Basidiomycota; Agaricomycetes; Cantharellales; Hydnaceae. The record is from RNAcentral.